GUUAACAAGGACACUAUUUGGCCCUCUUGCAGAAAGCAUUGGAGAAACCAUUUAAAAAAUACCUAUAUUCUGUUGUAUUGCAAAAUCCAUUAAGAACAGGACUACAUCAAUAGUGUUUAAUAAUUUGCUUUACCUCCCAAAGCAGAGUUCUGCUUUCAGCUUGUCUUAAGAACUGUUGCCAAAAACAACAGGAAAAAAUCCACUAUUUUAUUAUUCAAAUGCUUAAAACCUCUUAUCUUGUGACUUUUCUAUGGAAUCAUGAAGUAAAUUUGAAGAACCGGGCUUAUUUUAACAAUGAAAGACAAAACUAAUUAAGUGCAUUCUAAAGAGAAAACUUUAUAAAAGUAAAUAAUCCUGUAUAGAAUCUAUGAGUGAACAUUUUCCAGAAAGAUAUUACUAUUAUAGAAUCUUUUGAAGCAAUUUUCUUGAGAAAUAGUAAAAUCUGGGCCAGACUGUCUUGUAGUUAAUUGCAUAUUAGCAGAGCAGCAUGGGAAAUACGAUAUUUAUUGGAUAGGGAUUUCAGCUACUAAACACUCUCUGUUGUGAGAGAAUCUUUUUAUUCCUGAAUAAUGGAAGAACAGUACUUUGGUGCUGACAUCAAUGAGGCACUUUUCUUAGUCCUAGUGGAGGAUGCAGGGUGCUGUUAGACCAAUAUCACAUCUCGAGUCUUGAUCAAAUUUUCAUUCUCUGUCAAUUUGAAAAAGCCGGAAAUGACAGAAUAUGGUAUAGCCAAGGCACACAUAUUUGCAGUUUAAUGAAAAGUAGAUUUCUUAUAUUACUUUUUUCCCCUUUCCAGUGAAGAGCCCUUUGCUAUAUUUCUACCAUCACUAAUAGUUGAAAGUGUUUCAUUACUAACAAGUUCAGUACAACAUGAAAGUUAUCAUGGCUCAUUUGAAAUACUGUUUUGUCUAUCAGAAUAAACACAAGUGAAUUUUUCACCCACAAUAAUAUUAUGUCUUUGCAGCUUUAGGUUUGUUUAUUGUUUUCUUACUAGCCAAACUAUUAACUCUAAUCCCAUUGUUUGUCAGGGAGAGAGAGAGACACAUGCACCUACAUAUAGCAUAAAGUACUCAGCAGGGCUAGUUAUUUGGAUUUCUUGCACAGCAAUUUAGCUUUUUGUAAGUUCAACAUGUAAAUUUUAAAGACAAAUAUAGAGAGACCUAUGUGUUUGAAAUAUAAAUGAUAUAUAUGGAUUAGCAUGUAACUGUAUAUUAUUAAACAUGCAAUGAGCUGACUGGUAAGUGACGUCUAAUUGUAUGGCUAGCAAUGUAAUUUAUUCAGACUGUAUUUUUGUACAGAGCAGCACACACUAACCUAUGCCUCUGUGUCCUCUUUAAUGCCUAAAACUGUGCCUAGAAAUUUCAUCUGUCUUAAAAAUAAAAUAUACUCCAUGCUGUUUAUGCUAUUAGUUUCUCUACUGCUGUUCUUUUUGAGUUUGCAGUUUCACGAUUAGUUCUUCAUUUCAUGAUUUUUGUAGCUGACAUGAAAUUAUCUAUGUGGAAAAAAUAAAAAUAAAAGUGGCUUCCCUG
Molecule: long non-coding RNA, 1529 nt
Filed under: Bos taurus (domestic cattle)
Lineage: Eukaryota; Metazoa; Chordata; Mammalia; Artiodactyla; Bovidae
Description: long non-coding RNA NONBTAT026879
Source: RNAcentral